AAAGUUAAUUCUUGCGGAAACAAGAGAACCUGGUCUUUUCAAGAUAAAUUGUUUAUACUUCAAAAUAAAUAUUGUAAAACAACUCUAAUGAUAAAUUUUACCAUUUUUGAGAAAAUCACAUUUGAGAAAUCGAAAGCGUAUGACACCAGGUUGUUUUACAAAGAAAAUAUAUGGCUCAAAGACAAAGUAAAUCGAACAUGCUUUUACUUUUUUGAAUACAACGAACUGUUUUUAGUAAAGUGACCAAAAUGUUCGCUUGAGUAUGGAAAAUAAUGAUUUUAUCGCGAUGUUUAGAUGUUAAGAGUAAGAGAAGUCCAUUCGUUGUAAUGCGAGAUCAGUUGUCAAGUGGUUGGCAAGAAAUAAUUGUCGUUGACAACAAAUUCCAUUGCCAUUGCUCAAAGCAAAUUAAUUUCCUCAAAGUACCUUAACAUUUUGACAAUGCAUUGACAGCAAACUUCAUUAAACUCAGAAAUGAUAUUUUUAAACAUCGAAACAUUACGAUUAAAUCAUUGGUUCCAUACUCAAUUUAACAUAUUUAUAAGUACAUUUCUUUCACAUGCCAAAUCACGAAAUAUUUAAGAAUUUGAAAUGAUCUCGGUCUUUCAAAGCCAUAUAUAUUUGAGUGCCGUUUCUAACCUGACAACUUUGAGUUGAUUAUACAUAUAAUGUUAAUACCAAUUCAAGUGAUGAAAAUGCAGUUCAACAAAAUUUUAAAAGAAUGUUAUCUCUCCAAUUCAUUUUUGGAACAAAAAUUCAGUUUCAAUUUGCUUUUGCUUAAAAUGAUACAUUUCUCGUCCUCGAUAAAUACAAUAAAUUUCACUUCGGGAAAAGUUGUCCUGUUUUAUAUUAUUUAUAUAUUAAAAAAACCACUUCAGGAAAUAUUUUUGAUGCAAACAUGUAGCAACUAUGUCCAUGUACAUUAACACACAAAAUAUGUUUUAAAUUACUCAAACUUUCAAA
Paramuricea clavata is the source of this 960-nucleotide non-coding RNA. NCBI's taxonomy places the organism in Eukaryota, Metazoa, Cnidaria, Anthozoa, Malacalcyonacea, Plexauridae. The record is from the annotation of a GenBank genome assembly.